GACGAGGUGGCCGAGUGGUUAAGGCGAUGGACUGCUAAUCCAUUGUGCUCUGCACUCGUGGGUUGCGAAUCCCAUCCUCGUCG
Non-coding RNA from Ciona savignyi (Pacific transparent sea squirt), 83 nucleotides. NCBI's taxonomy places the organism in Eukaryota, Metazoa, Chordata, Ascidiacea, Phlebobranchia, Cionidae. The record is from Rfam.